Molecule: ribosomal RNA, 429 nt
Filed under: Pseudomonadota bacterium
Lineage: Bacteria; Pseudomonadati; Pseudomonadota
Description: Proteobacteria bacterium partial 16S ribosomal RNA
Rfam family: Bacterial small subunit ribosomal RNA
Source: RNAcentral
UGGGGAAUAUUGGACAAUGGGCGAAAGCCUGAUCCAGCCAUGCCGCGUGGGUGAAGAAGGUCUUCGGAUUGUAAAGCACUUUAAGUUGGGAGGAAGGGCAGUAAGCGAAUACCUUGCUGUUUUGACGUUACCGACAGAAUAAGCACCGGCUAACUCUGUGCCAGCAGCCGCGGUAAUACAGAGGGUGCAAGCGUUAAUCGGAAGUACUGGGCGUAAAGCGCGCGUAGGUGGUUCGUUAAGUUGAAUGUGAAAGCCCCGGGCUCAACCUGGGAACUGCAUCCAAAACUGGCGGGCUAGAGUAGGGCAGAGGGUGGUGGAAUUUCCUGUGUAGCGGUGAAAUGCGUAGAUAUAGGAAGGAACACCAGUGGCGAAGGCGACCACCUGGGCUCAUACUGACGCUGAGGUGCGAAAGCGUGGGGAGCAAACAGG